Cordylochernes scorpioides is the source of this 71-nucleotide non-coding RNA. The record is from the annotation of a GenBank genome assembly. Lineage: Eukaryota; Metazoa; Arthropoda; Arachnida; Pseudoscorpiones; Chernetidae.
UGCAUCGGCCGGGAAUCGAACCCAGGCCGCGCGCGUGGCAGGCGAGCAUUCUACCACUGAACCACCGAUGC